ACUCCUACGGGAGGCAGCAGUGGGGAAUAUUGCACAAUGGGGGAAACCCUGAUGCAGCCAUGCCGCGUGUGUGAAGAAGGCCUUCGGGUUGUAAAGCACUUUCAGUAGGGAGGAAGGUAGUGUAGUUAACACCUGCAUUAUUUGACGUUACCUACAGAAGAAGCACCGGCUAACUCCGUGCCAGCAGCCGCGGUAAUACGGAGGGUGCGAGCGUUAAUCGGAAUUACUGGGCGUAAAGCGCAUGCAGGCGGCCUGUUAAGUCAGAUGUGAAAAGCCCGGGGCUUAACCUCGGAAUUGCAUUUGAAACUGGCAGGCUAGAGUCUUGUAGAGGGGGGUAGAAUUUCAGGUGUAGCGGUGAAAUGCGUAGAGAUCUGAAGGAAUACCAGUGGCGAAAGGCGGCCCCCUGGACAAAGACUGACGCUCAGAUGCGAAAGCGUGGGGAGCAAACAGGAUUAGAUACCCUGGUAGGAUAGCG
This 475-nucleotide ribosomal RNA is filed under the name uncultured bacterium. RNAcentral's name for it is "bacterial SSU rRNA". It matches the Rfam family "Bacterial small subunit ribosomal RNA", at positions 335 to 799 of the family's 1533-position model. The record is from RNAcentral.